Non-coding RNA from Myotis lucifugus (little brown bat), 48 nucleotides. NCBI's taxonomy places the organism in Eukaryota, Metazoa, Chordata, Mammalia, Chiroptera, Vespertilionidae. The record is from Rfam.
CCAAAGGUGUUUUCACAACACCACAAAAUAUAAUCCAAAAACUUAUAU